This 280-nucleotide ribosomal RNA is filed under the name uncultured bacterium. RNAcentral describes it as "partial 16S ribosomal RNA". It matches the Rfam family "Bacterial small subunit ribosomal RNA", at positions 518 to 793 of the family's 1533-position model. The record is from RNAcentral.
CGGUAAUACGGAGGGUGCGAGCGUUAAUCGGAAUUACUGGGCGUAAAGCGCAUGCAGGUGGUUUGUUAAGUCAGAUGUGAAAGACCCGGGGCGUUAACCUCGGAAUAGCAUUUGAAACUAGGCAGACUAGAGUACUGUAGAGGGGGGUAGGAAUUUCAGGUGUAGCGGUGAAAUGCGUAGAGAUCUGAAGGAAUACCGGUGGCGAAGGCGGCCCCCUGGACAGAUACUGACACUCAGAUGCGAAAGCGUGGGGAGCAAACAGGAUUAGAUACCCUGGUAG